Molecule: ribosomal RNA, 510 nt
Filed under: uncultured bacterium
Lineage: Bacteria
Description: bacterial SSU rRNA
Rfam family: Bacterial small subunit ribosomal RNA
Source: RNAcentral
GACGAACGCUGGCGGCGUGGAUUAGGCAUGCAAGUCGAACGGUAUCAUCCUUUCGGGGGUGAGAGAGUGGCGAACUGGUGAGUAACACGUAGGUUAUCUACCCUCAAGACGGGGACAACCCAGGGAAACUUGGGCUAAUACCGGAUGUGAGCAACUUUUAGUUGUUUGAAAGGUGGCGUAAGCUGUCGCUUGGGGAUGAGCCUGCGUCCUAUUAGUUAGUUGGUGAGGUAACGGCUCACCUAGGCAAUGAUAGGUAGGCGGCCUUAACGGGUGGUCGCCCACACUGGGAUUGAGAUACGGCCCAGACUCCUACGGGAGGCAGCAGUCGAGAAUAGUCUACAAUGGUCGGAAGACUGAUAGUGCGACGCCGCGUGAACGAUGAAUCCCUUCGGGGUGUAAAGUUCUUUUAUAUGUGAGCAGUGCUUCUUAUAUUAACAGUAUGGGGAGAGAGAUAUUAGCAUACGAAUAAGCAACGGCUAACUCCGUGCCAGCAGCCGCGGUAAAAUCACG